This 285-nucleotide unclassified non-coding RNA is filed under the name Hevea brasiliensis (rubber tree). The record is from RNAcentral. Lineage: Eukaryota; Viridiplantae; Streptophyta; Magnoliopsida; Malpighiales; Euphorbiaceae.
UGAGUCUUCUUUAAAACUGGCUUUCUUUUUCUUUUUCAAAUUAAAUUUUCGUUUGUUAUUCUUUGUUGCUAUUAUUAAUAUUAUCCAUAUCAUCAAUAAACUCCAAAAAGAAUUCAUGAAUUACACAAUCAGCCAAGGCAAUGAAAUUAUUCAAUUCUUGAUUUGUUUGCACUCAAUACUGACAACGUUGGUUGUUUCUUGACAUCUUGUAGCUGUUAUGAGAUGGAUGGUAAUUGUUUUUCAUACGUGGAAUCAAACUGCUUCGGGGCAUUUUCAAUAAUGAAG